UACGGGGGGGGCAAGCGUUGUUCGGAAUUACUGGGCGUAAAGGGCUCGUAGGUGGCCAACUAAGUCAGACGUGAAAUCCCUCGGCUUAACCGGGGAACUGCGUCUGAUACUGGAUGGCUUGAGUUUGGGAGAGGGACGCGGAAUUCCUGGUGUAGCGGUGAAAUGCGCAGAUAUCAGGAGGAACACCGGUGGCGAAGGCGGUUCUCUGGGCAUGAUCUGACGCUGAGGCGCGAAAGCGUGGGGAGCAAACAGG
This 253-nucleotide ribosomal RNA is filed under the name uncultured bacterium. Its description in RNAcentral is "partial 16S ribosomal RNA". It matches the Rfam family "Bacterial small subunit ribosomal RNA", at positions 524 to 776 of the family's 1533-position model. The record is from RNAcentral.